UAUCCCAUCGCAAGAGUAAGACCCCUUGAAGACUACGAGGUAGAUAGGGCUAAGCUGUAAGUGCUGUAAAGCAUUCAGGUGAUAGUUACUAAUAGGUCGAGGGUUUGACCA
RNAcentral lists this ribosomal RNA (111 nucleotides) under Oribacterium sp. WCC10. Its description in RNAcentral is "23S rRNA. Bacterial LSU". It matches the Rfam family "Bacterial large subunit ribosomal RNA", at positions 2810 to 2925 of the family's 2925-position model. Lineage: Bacteria; Bacillati; Bacillota; Clostridia; Lachnospirales; Lachnospiraceae. The record is from RNAcentral.